UACCAGCACCCCGAGUGGUCGGGGCGAUUAUUGGGCCUAAAGCAUCCGUAGCCGGUCUUGCAAGUCUUCCGUUAAAUCCAGCUGCUUAACAGAUGGGCUGCGGAAGAUACUACAAGACUAGGAGGUGGGAGAGGCAAGCGGUACUCAGUGGGUAGGGGUAAAAUCCUCUGAUCCAUUGAAGACCACCAGUGGCGAAGGCGGCUUGCCAGAGCGCGCUCGACGGUGAGGGAUGAAAGCUGGGGGAGCAAACCGG
RNAcentral lists this ribosomal RNA (253 nucleotides) under uncultured bacterium. RNAcentral's name for it is "partial 16S ribosomal RNA". It matches the Rfam family "Archaeal small subunit ribosomal RNA", at positions 474 to 727 of the family's 1478-position model. The record is from RNAcentral.